ACGAACGCUGGCGGCGUGCUUAACACAUGCAAGUCGAACGGAAAGGCCCUGCUUGCAGGGUACUCGAGUGGCGAACGGGUGAGUAACACGGGGGUGAUCUGCCCUGCACUUCGGGAUAAGCCUGGGAAACUGGGUCUAAUACCGGAUAGGAGCCAUUUUUAGUGUGAUGGUUGGAAAGUUUUUUCGGUGUAGGAUGAGCUCGCGGCCUAUCAGCUUGUUGGUGGGGUAAUGGCCUACCAAGGCGGCGACGGGUAGCCGGCCUGAGAGGGUGGACGGCCACAUUGGGACUGAGAUACGGCCCAGACGCCUACGGGAGGCAGCAGUGGGGAAUAUUGCACAAUGGGCGCAAGCCUGAUGCAGCGACUCCGCGUGGGGGAUGACGGCCUUCGGGUUGUAAACUCCUUUCGCUAGGGACGAAGCUUUUUGUGACGGUACCUAGAUAAGAAGCACCGGCUAACUACGUG
Molecule: ribosomal RNA, 464 nt
Filed under: uncultured bacterium
Lineage: Bacteria
Description: partial 16S ribosomal RNA
Rfam family: Bacterial small subunit ribosomal RNA
Source: RNAcentral